CCGCCCAGUGGCGGACGGGUGAGUAACGCGUGGGCAACCUACCCCGCACUGGGGGACAACAGCCGGAAACGGCUGCUAAUACCGCAUGGGCGCCACGCCCCGCAUGGGGCGAGGCGGAAAGCCUUGGCGGUGCGGGAUGGGCCCGCGUCUGAUUAGCUAGUUGGCGGGGCAACGGCCCACCAAGGCGACGAUCAGUAGCCGGCCUGAGAGGGUGGGCGGCCACAUUGGGACUGAGACACGGCCCAAGCUCCUACGGAAGGCAGCAG
Molecule: ribosomal RNA, 266 nt
Filed under: uncultured bacterium
Lineage: Bacteria
Description: partial 16S ribosomal RNA
Rfam family: Bacterial small subunit ribosomal RNA
Source: RNAcentral